Molecule: unclassified non-coding RNA, 464 nt
Filed under: uncultured Clavulinaceae
Lineage: Eukaryota; Fungi; Basidiomycota; Agaricomycetes; Cantharellales; Hydnaceae
Description: sequence contains ITS2
Rfam family: 5.8S ribosomal RNA (bases 1-154)
Source: RNAcentral
AACUUUCGACAACGGAUCUCUUGGCUCUCGCAUCGAUGAAGAACGCAGCGAAAUGCGAUAAGUAAUGUGAAUUGCCGAAUUCAGUGAAUCAUCGAAUCUUUGAACGCACCUUGCGCUCCUUGGUAUUCCGAGGAGCACGCCUGUUCGAGUGUCGUGAAGUUCUCAAGCUUUAGAUGCUUUUUGUUUGACAAUUAUGCUCUCUAAGCUUGGUAUUGUGCUUUGCCGUGUCCCUUCUUGGAACGGCAGGUCCAAAAUGCAUUAGCUUGGCCCCUCAUCUGGCAUUGGUGCUACUCAGUGUGAUAAUAAUCUGACCUCUGAGGACAUCCUUUGGGAGGGCCAAUUCUUGUUUGGGUGGCUUUCUAGUCUUGUUUACUGGAUUCGUGAAAUCCGGUGCCACUCUCAAUUUCGACCUCGAAUCAGGUGGGACUACCCGCUGCACUUAAGCAUAACAAUAAGCGGAGGCU